Molecule: ribosomal RNA, 492 nt
Filed under: uncultured bacterium
Lineage: Bacteria
Description: partial 16S ribosomal RNA
Rfam family: Bacterial small subunit ribosomal RNA
Source: RNAcentral
AGUGAACGCUGGCGGUAGGCCUAACACAUGCAAGUCGAACGGCAGCACAGUAAGAGCUUGCUCUUACGGGUGGCGAGUGGCGGACGGGUGAGGAAUACAUCGGAAUCUACUUUUUCGUGGGGGAUAACGUAGGGAAACUUACGCUAAUACCGCAUACGACCUACGGGUGAAAGCAGGGGAUCUUCGGACCUUGCGCGAUUGAAUGAGCCGAUGUCGGAUUAGCUAGUUGGCGGGGUAAAGGCCCACCAAGGCGACGAUACGUAGCUGGUCUGAGAGGAUGGUCAGCCACACUGGAACUGAGACACGGUCCAGACUCCUACGGGAGGCAGCAGUGGGGAAUAUUGGACAAUGGGCGCAAGCCUGAUCCAGCCAUACCGCGUGGGUGAAGAAGGCCUUCGGGUUGUAAAGCCCUUUUGUUGGGAAAGAAAAGCAGCAGGUUAAUACCCCGCUGUUCUGACGGUACCCAAAGAAUAAGCACCGGCUAACUUCGUG